CAUGAAUUUAUUUGAAUGAAAAUAUCAUUGCACAAAAUGUUGCCAACAAUGUCAUCACUUCUCCUUUUGGCAUGGGAGAAGGGUUUUUAAACAAAGUGAUUGUUACUCUGACUUAUGAACAACUGUGGGAACGCCCACAGUGACCCGAUUGUGACAGACACCACCAGGAAUGAUGAAAUUGUUCAAGUCCUCUGCGUCCUCUUCCAAGACAGCAGCAUCCUCUUCUUCAGGUUGAUCGUCAUGGAUGAAUCCUCCCCUCUUGAACAGACCUUGCUCAU
RNAcentral lists this long non-coding RNA (278 nucleotides) under Lathyrus oleraceus (garden pea). RNAcentral describes it as "Pisum sativum (pea) long non-coding RNA (PSAT_LNC041607)". Lineage: Eukaryota; Viridiplantae; Streptophyta; Magnoliopsida; Fabales; Fabaceae. The record is from RNAcentral.